AAAUUGAAGAGUUUGAUCAUGGCUCAGAUUGAACGCUGGCGGCAGGCCUAACACAUGCAAGUCGAACGGUAACAGGAAGCAGCUUGCUGCUUCGCUGACGAGUGGCGGACGGGUGAGUAAUGUCUGGGGAUCUGCCUGAUGGAGGGGGAUAACUACUGGAAACGGUAGCUAAUACCGCAUAACGUCGCAAGACCAAAGAGGGGGACCUUCGGGCCUCUUGCCAUCAGAUGAACCCAGAUGGGAUUAGCUAGUAGGUGGGGUAACGGCUCACCUAGGCGACGAUCCCUAGCUGGUCUGAGAGGAUGACCAGCCACACUGGAACUGAGACACGGUCCAGACUCCUACGGGAGGCAGCAGUGGGGAAUAUUGCACAAUGGGCGCAAGCCUGAUGCAGCCAUGCCGCGUGUAUGAAGAAGGCCUUCGGGUUGUAAAGUACUUUCAGCGGGGAGGAAGGG
Molecule: ribosomal RNA, 455 nt
Filed under: Atlantibacter subterraneus
Lineage: Bacteria; Pseudomonadati; Pseudomonadota; Gammaproteobacteria; Enterobacterales; Enterobacteriaceae
Description: bacterial SSU rRNA
Rfam family: Bacterial small subunit ribosomal RNA
Source: RNAcentral